Molecule: unclassified non-coding RNA, 469 nt
Filed under: Hevea brasiliensis (rubber tree)
Lineage: Eukaryota; Viridiplantae; Streptophyta; Magnoliopsida; Malpighiales; Euphorbiaceae
Source: RNAcentral
GCCUUUCCUAACUAAUCAGUAAAUGAACCCAAAAAAGACAAAUAAAAAGAUCCAUUUAAAUAAAUCCAAACAUGAUACAGCUUUCUGGGACACUCUGAAGCCAAUAAACAACAGGGCCUUUAUUUAGCUGACCCUUAUAUUCCCAUCCCAUUUCUAGUAUCUUCCCUAUAUUUGUUUGUGCGUCUAUCCAUCUAAUUGCCAAACUCUCUCUUCUUCUUAAUUGAAUUUGUAAGAAAAGAACUGCUGACUGUCUUAUCUUCCUUUCUCUCUUUCUGCUAUCUGAACCGCGUGCCGACCAUAUCAGUUCUCAAACACCCAACGACGUGGAGCUCUUCCAAACUCAAACCUGGGAUAUAUCCGGUUGGGUCAGGCAAAACCAGAGGAGGUGCCGAAGGGACACUUGGCUGUGUAGGUGGAAGAAUCAAUUGGUGACAAGCGGCGGGAAGUGGUGCCUGUAAUAUACUUCAAU